CCGUAAAAGUAAACCAUCAAGAAAACAUUGACUCGUUCAAUAGUAUCGUGAUUAAAAGACAAAAAAUUGUUUUAAAAAAAUGCUUAGAGACAUUAAAUCAUGCUGAAAUUACGUUAAUGAGUUGUGCAACAGUUAAUCCUUUGAUGAAGAAAGGGGAUAACACAUUUCGGUAGUCGAAUUGUUAAGAAAAUAAAAGACAAAUCAAAAGUGCACUCGUUUUGAGACAUUACAUUUCCCGUUCAAGUUUUUGUUCGACGAGUGAAAAAAAAACAGCCAUAAAUUUUGGCAAAUCAGUUUUUUGUCCAAUUGUUUAAACUCGGUCUGUGCUCUUUCGCGUUACGUUGUGUGUUGUAAUUCGUUUCACAUAAAGUGAAAUGAAUUAAAUGUAUCGCUGAGCUGCCUUUUUUUUCUCAUUCGAACUACCUAUUUGAACAACAAAAUGUACUUAAAUCAAAACUAAACUCGCUUUCUGCGUUUUCGGUGUGUAUAAUUUUGUGUGUGGCUGCUGCAUACAGUUUUCAGUUUAUAAGCAUUACAAAACGUGUGGUGUGCUAUCGUCCGAAAAACGACAUUAUGAUGAAUUAAAAAUACAUUUAAUUAGGUGUUACAACAGCAACUAAAAUAAUCGGUAUAAAUUUGCUGUGAUUUGUGAUAUAAUCAAUUGAUGUGAUCGAUUUUGUCAAAGGAACUGAAGGCAGAAAAAUAUGGGUUAUGAAUUAACACGAUUCCAGGGGGAGGUAGACGAAGAACUGAUAUGUCCAAUCUGUUCGGGAGUCUUAGAAGAACCAGUUCAGGCAAUUGUAUGUGAACAUGCGUUUUGUCGCGCUUGUAUCACCGAGUGGCUGAGUCGACAGCCAACGUGUCCUGUUGAUCGAAAUGCCAUGACACAGGCAAAUUUGCGUGCCGUACCUAGAAUUUUAAGGAAUCUACUUUCAAGACUAAGCAUAGCCUGUGAUAACGAGAUGUACGGCUGUACGCUAGUCUUAAAACUAGACGCACUAGCGAAUCAUUUAGAUGAAUGCGAGCACAAUCCAAAAAGACCGCUGCCAUGUGAAAAGGGUUGCGGUUUCGUGAUUCCAAAGGAUGAAUACAAAGAGCACAAUUGCGUGCGCGAAUUGCGUGCGUUGAUCCAUACACAGCAACAGAAAUUAAGCGAUGUCAAAAACAAAAUCAGCGACCAGACCUUGACAAUAAAUGAGCUGAAACGCGAGUUGCAACUGUUCAAAGAUUUUAUGCGAGCCAUGCGUGGCUCGAAUCCAGCGAUGCGAGCCAUUGCUGAUCAAAUGGAACGUGAUGAAGUUGUCCGAUGGAGUAGUUCAUUGGCACGGGCUAGAGUCACUAGAUGGGGAGGUAUGAUAUCCACUCCAGAUGAUGCUUUACAGAUGAUGAUAAAGCGAGCCCUCUCCGAAUCCGGAUGUCCGCCACAUAUUUUGGACGAUUUGAUGGAAAAUUGUCAUGAACGUCGAUGGCCCCGCGGUUUGAGUUCAUUGGAAACACGUCAGGACAAUCGGCGCAUUUAUGAUAAUUAUGUUUGUCGACGCAUUCCUGGUAAACAGGCUGUACUAGUUUUGAGCUGCGACAACGGUCACAUGGCUGAAGAUGUAAUGGUUGAACCAGGUCUGGUGAUGAUAUUUGCCCAUGGAGUUUCCGAGUAAGUUCUACAUUGGAUUUGUGUGUUAUACUGUGGAGCCACGUAUUUAUGGAUGUCGAUUCGAGAGCUGCCCGGACCAUUCCCAUGCUCAUACACCGUACGCCCACAACAACAGCAACAAUACACCAGAUUCACAUCGUGACAUAUAAUUGAAUUGAGACUUUAAAUAAGUGUUAAGAUCGUUCGACGAACAUUUAUUAUGAUUUUACAUGGCUCUCCCGCUUAGUAUGUAUAAAUUUGUCCCGUAAAAUGAUCUCAAUUAAGUUUUAAAACUCGAAUGAUUUAAACUAAGGUGUACACAUUAAGCAUAUGAAUGGAAACUUUUAUCUAUGACUGUUAGAUAAAGAAGAAUAUAAGAGCUUUUGUUUAAACAAUCCAAUUGUUAUUGAUUUCAUUUGAUUUUUUUUAUUUUUUUUUUAUUAAUAAUAUUAUUGUGUGGCGUUGUUUAAUUUGCGCUGACACAAUUUUCCAAUGUUUUCUGAAAACAAUAAAGUGAAACAAACAGAAACAUAAUACUUCACUGAAGAAAUUUUAUGUUCAGGACUAAAAGGAGUUUUUGAAAGAGGGAGAGAGAGAGAGAAAGUGAGUUAUUAGAAACAAAAA
Bradysia coprophila is the source of this 2254-nucleotide RNA transcript. It is a transcript of the gene named E3 ubiquitin-protein ligase NRDP1 elgi, with no coding region annotated. The record is from RefSeq and is a predicted model, not a curated record. Lineage: Eukaryota; Metazoa; Arthropoda; Insecta; Diptera; Sciaridae.